GGUCAAGUCAUCAUGGCCCUUACGGGGUGGGCUACAAACGUGCUACAAUGGCGCGCACAAAGGGCUGCAAACCCGCGAGGGGGAGCGAAUCCCAAAAAACGCGUCGUAGUCCGGAUCGGAGUCUGCAACUCGACUCCGUGAAGUCGGAAUCGCUAGUAAUCGUGAAUCAGAAUGUCACGGUGAAUACGUUCCCGGGCCUU
Molecule: ribosomal RNA, 200 nt
Filed under: uncultured organism
Description: partial small subunit ribosomal RNA
Rfam family: Bacterial small subunit ribosomal RNA
Source: RNAcentral